AUGCUUUCACCUUGGGGUUAUUUUUGUAGGGUUUUUCUAAGUUUCCCUUGUUUUAUUAAAAUAACAGGGAUCCUACUUAUUUUAUACUAAAACAGGGCAUGAUAUAUUUUUCCAGUGAACUAUAUUGAAUAAAUAACCUAACAAAAAUAGAGGUACUCUCUGGUCCAUUAAUUAAAUUACAUUUUCUAUUUUUUCCUAUCCUUAAGCAUAUUAUAGAGUAAGGGGUAAAACUAACUUAAAUGGAGUAGACAGAGGGGUUUAGCAUUUUUAUUUGGUUUAGUAGGUAUAUAUAAACUCCUCAGAAUUUUUCUAACCCCAGUCAAAUAGUGCAACUAAUUUUGGCCUUAUUAUUAAGCUUUUGGUCAAAACUAUAAUUAAAUCAGAGCUUUAAAGUUUUCUAUAGUACAUAGGGGUUUUAUAUUUUUCCUAAAUAGGUUUCAUUAUUUGAAGUCUGACAAAAUUGGUUUGACCAAAUUUGGAUGAUUUAAACAAAAGUUAUGCAUUUUCAAAGUUUUCUGCCCAAUUUAAAAACAGAUUUAAUAAAGGUUUUCUGGAAAAACCGUUUACACCGAGGUCCUUGGGUUUAAACUAAAUCCACCCUCACAAAUCUACCCCUACGCCACUAUUCCCCUGUGUCGCUGACAUUACACAAAACCCCCUGAACUUUCUUCCCUCUCACCCGCAGUCCUUCCCCUCACUGAAACAGUAACCGCGGGAAAGAAAAGGACGGCGCGGCUUACCGGCGGCGAGGGAGGUCCGGCGAAGGGUGGGGUCGGCUCGGGGAGACUCUGGCGGUCACGUCGAGGUACGGCUCGGCGUCGGAGGUGGCCGGAAUCGCCCGGUCCACGCGUGCAGGCGGGUGUCCUCGUCGGCGGCGAGUAUACCGGCCAAACCACGGCGAACUGGUUCAAUCCGAGGGUACGGUGAGCUUCACGGGGUCACGUAACGACUGUGUGCACAAGGAAUCGAAGGAUGGUGGAUUGGUUUACCCGGUCCACGUACUCCGGCGGGGGUGAGAGCUCCGGCGAGCGUGGACUGGCUUCUCCGGCGAAGGGAACUCCGAUUCCUUGCUCGGGGAGCCUCACGGAGGUGUGCACAAGCUUCUCCGAGGGCAGGACGGGGUUGGGGAUGGCUCUGCUAGCCGGUCUAUGGUGGCAGAGGGGUUGGGCGGCCGCGGACUCGCUGCGCACGGGCAAACGGCGACGAGCUAACUCCGGCGAGGUGUGGAGGGUGUGCGGAAGGGUGUAGCCGAAGCCUGGGAGGGCUUUAUAAGCUCGGGCGCGGGCCACGACGCGGGUUUGGCUCGGGCGCGGCGCGGGGCAUGCGAGGGCGCGCGCGAGCGUGCUCUGGCGCGGGCAGAAGGCGUCGAACACGUGGCAGUGAGUUUCUUCCAAUGUUCAAACGCUUCCAGAGAUCGCAAACGUGCGAAUCUCGCCAUGAAUCCGGCGCAGACCUCCUCCUGGCACCUAGGGCUAUCUCACAUGUGUGAGUUCCAAGGGAUGAUACGCCCUAGAGAGGGAGAUAGACGGGCGCCAAAUCUGGCUUGUCUCCCUGCCCGCUCAGCGACAAAACUGAUGUCAAGUGCUGUCAAACGUCUGAGUCUCGGUCUCAAAUUUUUCCAGGGGGUGCCUUAAGUGGUAUAGCACAUUUUUGGUAUAGAACCCAAGUGGUUUUGGCGCCAUCUUCAAAGUGAACACGGCUGGUCUUUGAAUUAGGGCAAAAAUGUGACUUAGAGGGAAAAUAGAGAGCUCUAGCUCUCUCUCCACUUGGAGAUUUGAAUUGGGGUUUCUCCAGGGGCCUUUUUGCAAUAUUUCCCUCCCUUAAUUGAUGGUUACAAUGUUGCUUAGGGUUUGGGCAAAAGUUACACACACUUGCACCCUUGUUCACUCCCUUUCCCCCCUUUUACUUAGGGUUUUGGAAGGUAGGGCUUUUGAGAGGUCUAGGGUUCUUCUCCCCCUAAUAUCCAAGGUAGUAAGUGUGCAAGGAUUAGAGUAAUGCUUCCUAUGUCAUUGGCCACUUGAUUAGCACAUGAGCUCCAAAGUUCCUAUGUGGUGCCCUAAGUCUUCACCAUUGUGGACACAGCUUCUAGUGCCAAAGUGGCUCUAGCCAGGGUAACACCUGGGGUGUUACACGCCGCGGAUCACGGAGGGCCACCAUGGCCGCGCCAUGGCCGGGACGGGGCCGAGGCCGGGCGGGGAAGCGCGCGCGGGCGGGACAGGGGCGAGCGCGCGAGCGGGGCGGGGUCGGUGACGCCGCGCGGGCGCCAAGGGCAAGGCCAGGCGGGGACGAGGCCGGGCCGCGCCGGGGAGAGGGAGGGAGGGGGAGAGGAGAGGGAGGAGGGGGAGGGGCUUACCGCGCGGGGGAGGGAGGCCGGCGGCGAGCGGCGCGGCGGCGAGCCGAGCGAGGGCGCGGGCGGAUCGGGCAGGGGAGCGAGGGCGAGCAGGGGAGGAGAGAGGGAGGGGGAGCUAACGGGUGGGGCCCACGCGGGGGAGGCGGCGGCGGUUUUUCCAACCACGCGCGCGGUGGGCGCGCCGUGGGGAGCGGGGGGAGCUGGCGGGGGCGGUUGGGCCGCGGCUGGGCCACAAGCCGACUGGGCCGGCUGGCCAGCGCGGGGCCCACGGCGGGAAGGGAGAGAGGGGGGGGGGGGGGGGGGCUGGGCCGAAAUGGGAGGAGAGGGGGAAAGAGAGAAGAAAAGAUUUUCCUUUUUUUAUAUCUAUUUUCUAUAUGAAUGCUUUCACACGUUCAAACAAUCAAAGAAAUGCAUGGUUCGGCAUGGUGCAGCAGACCAAAGAAAAUAACCCUAGUGUUUACUAUUAUCACAUAACCUAAAGUUUUGAAGUCGGGUGAGGUUUUAGCGAAAAGAAAUGGAAAGAGGGGUAACGCCCGAAUUUAGCGAGCGAUAGAGAAAAGAAAAAAAAUCAACUCAAAAUUCGGGGCGUUACAAACCUAUCCCCCUUAAAAGAAUCUCACCCUCGAGAUUCAGGGUUGGCUAGCAAAGAGCUCAGGGUAUUUGGCCAUUAGAUCAUCUUCACGCUCCCAGGUUGCCUCCUCCUCAGAGUGAUGAUUCCAUCUGACCUUGCACAUUCUGAUGGUCUUCCUUCGGGUGACUCUGUCUGUGGUCUCAAGGAUCUGCGUUGGCUUCUCUGUGUAGGUCAAGUCCUCCUGGACCUCCAGACCUUCCACUGGCAACUGCUCUUCUGGCACACGCAAACACCUCUUCAACUGAGACACAUGAAAUACAUCAUGCACUGCUGAUAAGCCUUCUGGCAAACUGAGCUGAUAGGCCACUUCUCCACGCUUUGCGAGAAUCUGAUACAGACCGAUGUAGCGGGGUGCUAGCUUGCCUUUGACUCCGAAUCUUCUGACUCCCCUGAUCGGUGACACUUUCAGAUAGACAAAGUCUCCAACUUCGAAACUCAGCUCUCUUCUUCUUGUGUUUGCAUAGCUUCGCUAUCUUGAUUGCGCUAUCUUCAGAUUCUCUCGGACCAUCUUGAUGUUCUCUUUGGCUUCAAGCAGAAUGUCUGGCCCAAACACCUGCUUUUCUCCAGGCUGAUCCCAUUGCAACGGAGUUCUACAACUCCUUCCAUAGAGCGCUUGAAAUGGUGACAUCUUCAAGCUGGCCUGGUAACUAUUGUUAUAGGAGAACUCUGCAUAAGGCAACUUCUUGUCCCAUCCGGACUGGUCUUGCAACGCACAGGCUCUCAACAUGUCUUCAAGAAUUUGAUUGGUUCUUUCAGUCUGACCAUCUAUCUGCAGAUGAUAAGCUGAACUGAAAUUCAAAUGUGUGCCCAAGGCUUCAUGCAACUGCUGCCAAAAAUGAGAGGUAAAUUGCGUCCCUCGGUCUGACACUAUCUUCUUUGGCACACCAUGAAGACAAACGAUUCGGGACAUGUACAAUCCUGCCAAUACUGCACUGUUGUAGUUGGUCUUGACUGGUAUGAAGUGGGCUGACUUGGUCAAGCGGUCCACCACUACCCAAAUGGAAUCGUAGCCGGCUCGAGUGCGAGGCAAUUCGACUAUAAAAUCCAUGCCGAUUUCAUCCCAUUUCCACUGGGGGAUUUGCAACGGUUGCAACAAUCCAGCUGGUCUCUGGUGCUCUGCCUUGAUCCGCCGACAACUAUCACACAUAUCCACAUGCUCUGCGAUCUCCCUCUUCAUUCCGUACCACCAGAAUUUCUUCUUCAGAUCUUGAUACAUCUUCUCACUGCCAGGGUGAAUUGAAUAGGCUGUCUCAUGAGCUUCCAUGAGGAUCAACUCCCGAAUAGACUGGACAUUGGGAACGCACAAGCGGUCUUUGAACCAUAUCACACCUUCUGCAUCUUCCUGAAAAUCUUUGCCUCUGCCAUCUAGAAUCAGUCACCGAAUUUCACUGACCUUCUCAUCAUUCUUCUGCGCUUCUUUGAUUUCUCGCUCUAGGGUAGGUUCCAACUCAACUGUGACUCCUCGCGUGUUGUUCAGAAAUCCAAGACUCAACCUGUCAAACUCUUUGGCCAACUCAUAAGGCAUCGGACGAGCGACCAUCAGAUUGACCUGACUCUUCCUGCUCAAAGCAUCUGCCACUACGUUCGCUUUGCCUGGAUGGUAAUGGAUCUCCAACUCAUAGUCUUUGUUCAACUCUAACCAUCUUCUGUGCCUCAUAUUCAGCUCUGACUGAGUGAAUAUGUACUUCAGACUCUUGUGGUCUGUGUAAACAUCACAUUUCUGUCCAUACAGAUAGUGCCUCCAUGUCUUCAGUGCGUGAACCACUGCUGCCAACUCUAGGUCAUGGAUUGGAUAAUUCUUCUCAUGAACCUUCAGCUGUCGGGAUGAGUAAGCCACAACUCUUCCCACUUGCAUCAACACACAUCCCAAACCAGUAUAACAAGCAUCGCAAUACACCGAGAAGGGCUUGUGCACAUCAGGCAAGACUAGGACAGGCGCUGUAGUCAACUUCUCUUUCAGCGCUUCGAAGGCCUCUUGACAUUUCUGGGUCCACUUGAACUUGACCUUGUUGCCUAGCAACGCUGUCAUUGGUUUUGCAAUCUUCGAAAACCCUUCAAUGAAUCAACGAUAAUAUCCGGCCAUUCCAAUGAAGCUCUUGAUUCCUCGAGCAUCGGUCGACGCUUUCCAGUUCAGAAUGUCUGCCACUUUCUUCGGAUCCACAGCCAAUCCUUCUUUGUUGAUUAUGUGACCCAAGAACAGGACUUCACUGAUCCAGAAUUCGCACUUGCUCAACUUUGCAUACAACUGGUGCUCUCGCAAUCUCUGCAAUACCAUCCUCAAAUGAUCCGCAUGCUCUUCUUCGCUUUGAGAAUAAAUCAGAAUGUCAUCAAUAAAUACCACCACAAACUUAUCAAGAUAGUCCAUAAAUACACUGUUCAUCAAGUUCAUAAAGAAGGCCGGUGCAUUUGUUAGACCGAAAGACAUCACUGUGAAUUCAUAUAACCCAUACUUGGUAAUGAAUGCCGUCUUCGGAAUGUCCGAAGGUCGAAUCCUGAGCUGAUGAUAACCUGACCUCAGAUCAAUCUUGGAGAACACGCUGGCUCCUCUCAACUGGUCGAACAGAUCUUCUAUUCUGGGCAAAGGGUACUUGUUCUUGAUCGUGACCUCAUUUAGAGCUCGAUAAUCGAUACACAUCCUUUUGGUGCCAUCUUUCUUUUCCACAAAUAGGACAGGGGCGGCCCAAGGCGAGGUGCUUGGCCAAAUGUAACCUUUCUCUGACAGCUCAUCAAUCUGCUUCUUAAGUUCAACCAACUCUGGUCCAGAUAUUCUGUAAGCUCUCUUAAAGAUGGGGGCGGUUCCAGGAAGAAGCUCUAUGGCAAAUUCAACUUUUCACUCUGGUGGCAUACCCGGUAAGUCCUUGGGAAACACAUCUGGAAACUCCGACACAAUCUUGAUACUCUCAAUUGGGUCUGCUUCACUGCUAUCGACAGCCAUCUGAUAACAACUUCCUUUCUUCGGCUCAGGCGGGACUAACUCGGUCACCACUUCCUCUCCUAGUGGGGACAUCAACUUGAUUGUCCUCUUAUCACAACUGAUAACUUCCUAGUACUUAUCUAGCCAAUUCAUCCCUAGGAUGACAUCUAUUCCCUGAGUACCCAUUACUAUGAGGUUAGCGGGAAACGCUAUCCCCCUUAUUUCCACACUUACAUUCAAACAAAUACUAUCGGCUCGAAUUCUACCACCAGCUGAGUCAAUUUGAACGGGGGUUGACAUGGUAGUAAUUGGAAGAUUAUGUGCUUCUACCCAUGAUGCAGUAAUGAAAGAAUGCGUUGCUCUAGUAUCAAAUAACACUCCUGCAAUAUGGGAAUCGACUGGAAACAUACAUACUAUCAUGUCGGGGGUCUCCUGAACUGCUUCAGCCUCCAAGUGAUUCAGUAUCACAUGAUUAUAGCGCGGCUGAGAGCGGUUGCCUGCUCCAGGCUGAGACACAUUCUGCUUUGCUGGGGCAUUGGGGCCUAACUGCUGCUAGGCUGCCUUCUUCGGACAUUGCAUCACCCAAUGGCCUUGCUCUCCACAGUGGAAACAUGCUCUAUUUCCAACCUGAGCUGUUGCUGCCUGACUGUUCUGCUGGUUUGCUGGGGCAGGAAGACGAGGUGCCUGCUGAUUCUGCCUCUGGAACAGACCUCCUCCCGACUGAUGGUUCUGACGAUUCUGAUACUGGUGUUGAGGAUACUGCCUUUGAAACUGCUGCUACUGAGGUGGACGCUGGUUCUGCCUGAACUGCUGAGGUUGAUUGCCUGAGAAACGAGGACGAUUGCUGCUUCCAGGCUGGGGUCCACUGAUCUUGCGCUUGCGAUCCUCCAUCUCCUUACGCUUCCUCUCUGUCAUGAUUGCCCUGUCAAUCAGGUGCUGGAAUGCCGGGAAGGUAUGAUUCAUCAGCUGGUACUACAGAGGGUCAACUAAGCCUCUUAAGAAGCGAUACUGUCUCUUGGCAUCUGUGUUGACAUCCUCAGGAGCAUAGCGAGACAACUGCAGAAACUUGUCCCGGUACUCACUGACAGACGAUGACCCUUGCUUAAGGGCCAGGAACUCCUCCUUCUUCACUGUCAUCAGACCUGCAGGAACAUGGUACUGACGAAAGCUACCUCUGAACUCUUCCCAGGUGAUGGUGUCGGGGUUGGCAUGGGUGGCGAGAUAAGACUCCCACCAUGACUGAGCUGCUCCUCUCAACAAACGAGGACCAUACAGGACUUUCUCCCUGUCAUCGCACUGAGCGAUAUGCAACUCUCGCUCCACAGUGUGCAGCCAAUCUUCAGCAUCCAUGGGGUCAGAAGAGUGAGCGAACGUUGGUGGAUGACCUCUCAUGAAUUCAGCACGCUUGUCCUUAGGCAUCUGAGGCAUCUGAGGCUGAGGUGGUACCUGCUGCUGCUGCUGAAUGGCGGCCAGAGUCUGACCGAUGGCUUGAACUGCCUGAGUCUGCAUCAGAAACAUCUGCUCGAUGGACAUCGGGGGCGGGGGCGGCAGCUGCUGUUGCUGGGGUGCCUCAUCCUGCUGAGCUGCCUGCUCCUGCUGAGCACGCCUUCCUCCUCUGCGCCUGUUUUCUGACAUCUGCAGAAUGCAAUCACACAUCAGAACUGAUCUUGCAAAUCUUGCAGCAUGAGAAAAGAGUAUAGAAUUCUCCACAACACUGAGCAGAUGAGCAUCUUCACUGAUCUCCAACACAGACCAACACAUCUUCUCAGAUAAAGAGGAAAGUGGAAUAAAAGGCUGCCCAACUAGAUAACUAACUCCAUUAACAUAACAGGUAAACCAAAAUGCAGGGGAUUCCCACACUCUGGUGACAGUCAUUACAAAGAUCCAAAUCGAGCAUAGUUCAUCAUGACAAACAUAAAUGCACAGGAUAUAGCAAACUACCCUGUCUAACUAAGACUAACUAAGAGCGAGACUAACACUAAGACUGAGACUAAGACUAAGACUAAAACUUCUAUAUUAAGCACUUAUUACAAGACUCCACACUGACGAUCUAUGGUUCCAAGUCUAUCUUGGUCUUGCAGUCGGGAUUGCCAUAAGGCUGGUGUCCAUGCCGAGGUGAGCGGUACGGGUGCUGAGUCCCGACGGGAGCGAGGGAACCAUCAUCCAGGUGACGACGUUCCGCUCGCUCAGCCCGCAGCAGGGCGAUCUCAGCACGAGCCCUACUCAGCUCGUCUAAUGCAUGGUCCAGCUCCGUGUUUAGCACGGCGACUAGGUUGACUGUGCUGCUCAACCUAGGAUUGUCCUCACCAACAGGUGAGACAAUCACGCCUCCUGUGCUGCCAGAUGGACGGCGGGGGUAAUACUUCAGGUUGAGGCCGUCAGCUACCCCACCGAGAACCGAGCAGUAGUGUGAAAGCGCACGCCGUGCAGCAUCUUGCAUGGCCGCCUCAGCUGAGUCCCGCUUAGAGAUGGAAUAGUGCUCUGAGCAGACCUCAGCACCCUGGAGACUGUUCUCCGGACGGCGCACCAAGCAGGUCGCCUCCCAGCGGUCCGGGUAGACCCCGCGACUGUGCUGGUAGACCACACAGCGAUACUCGAUGGACCAAGUACGCCGGUUAAGUGCUCGACGUAGCAGGGUGUCGAGCACACCAUGGAAGUGACACCCGCGAGCAGCGUCGCGAGUGAUGGGUCGAGCAACCCAUCCUUCCGGCUCCUGGUUAGCAGAGAAGUCGGUGUCGUGGCUCAGGCUGUCGUCGCCACCUCCGUCGUCCGGGUCUCCUCCAGCAGCUACUCCAGAGGCUGGGGCACUCAGUGGUGGUGCAGGGGGCGCCUCCAGGGGAAGCAUAGGGGAGCAGCUCCUCACAGACUCUAUCUCCUGCUGGGGCGAGAAAGAAGAGCCCUCCUGCUCCUGUCGUCGAAGCUCCUGCUCCUCAUGCAGGCGGUGAUGCAGCCUCUCCAAGUGACUGGACUGACCGGCCACGGGACGACGAAGCGGACGCUCAGCAAGGCGGGAGGGUAAGAAGGGGAUGACGGACUUUCGUGCAGUGUGUCUAAGACGAGCCAUCUACAAAAGACACCGCAAGCAAAAGAGUGAGAACAGAAUUAAUAUGACCAACAAGUAAUGAAUCAUAAAUAAAUGAAGGAUUAGAAUAAAACACAAUUUUCAGCAAGGUAUAAUAUAUAGUAGAACAUAGUUUUGUUCGAUAUGACAAACUUUUGAAGGGAUGCCAAAGUCAAGGCAGGGACAGAGGUCUAUAAUCCUUAGAACGACCAUUCUACUCUAGGGUAGCGGUCCUACAGUCAGCACGGCUUUGAUACCACCUAUGUCACACCCGGUUUUAGAAGGUAAACCGAAUGCGAACCAUGUACGUGCCAGGAUCAGCAAUUCACGUACACAGCAGUUACAUAACAUGGACAUCAUCACACAGUGCUCAAAUAGUAUUAAAAAGGGAAAUAAUAGUCGAUUACAUCAUAUGUCUGAGACAUUCACAUAGUCUUUACAAUAAAUCAAAGUGCGGAAAAGAAACAUAGAUAAACGCGGCCUUCACAGGCAGCCGUCUGGGGGUUGCCGCUAACUCACACCUAGAACUCGUCGUAGUCUUGGAACUCCUGGAAGUCUCCUUCCAUGGCUUCAUCUUCUCCUGAGCAGUGGUUGCAAUGCGAACAACCUGGGGAUGGGGGUUUUGGUGUGUAGAGCAAGGGUGAGUACACAUCAACAUACUCAGCAAGUAUCCUGUUUGGCUGUAGUGGACUAGCUUUAUGUGGGGGUAAGUCAAGCAGUUGCUUUUAGUUGGUCAGAUUAUUAUUACUAGUAGAAAAAGCCAAGUUUUAGAGUUAACCCACGUUAUUAACCCAAAUGUACUCCUUUCCAAACGGAAAGAGUACCACUUACCAUUACCAGAGUCAAAACCAAGAACCAUCAAUCUCAUUGCCACCUGCAAAUCCGAACAUCUCUAAUCAAGUAUCACUAAUCAUGGAGCUCCCUUGGCCGCUCAUAACCGUGAGCACGACUGAUAUAUCAGUUUUCAAACACUCUGUAGAGGUUGUGCACUUUACCCACAAGCUGUGAUUCCCUUUCUGCCCGGAGAGAGCUACUCCCCAUUGACCACUACCUAGGUGGUCCAGCAGUGUCGGGGACCAUAAUUAGGGGUACCCUCAAGACGCCUAAUUCUCAGCUGGUAACCCCCAUCAGCAUAAAGCUGCAAAGGCCUGAUGGGCAUGAUUAAGUCAGGGAUCAGUCCACACGAGUGACUCGAUCACGCUUCACCCGAGCCUAGCCUCGGCCGAAGGCAGCCGACCUCGAGAGACUUCUGUCUCGCCCGAGGCCCCCUUUUUAUGGCGGACACAUCACCGGCUCGCCCAAGGCCUUGGCUUCGCUCAGAAGCAACCUUGACUAAAUCACCACACCGACUGACCAAAUUGCAGGGGCAUUUAACGCACAGGAGGCCUGACACCUCUAUCCUGACACGCGCCUCCGGCAGAGCCGAGGUGACCGCCGUCACUCCACCGCUCCACUGGCCAGUCUGACAGAAGGACAGCGCCGCCUGCGCCACUCCGACUGCAGCGCCACUCGACAGAGUAAGUCUGACAGGCAGUCAGGCCUCGACAAAGGCGCCACGGCAAACUCCGCUCCGCCCGACCCCAGGGCUCGGACUCGGGCUAAGACCCGGAAGACGGCGAACUCCGCUCCGCCCGACCCCAGGGCUCGGACUCGGGCUAAGACCCGGAAGACGGCGAACUCCGCUCCGCCCGACCCCAGGGCUCGGACUCGGGCUAAGACCCGGAAGACGGCGAACUCCGCUCCGCCCGACCCCAGGGCUCGGACUCGGGCUAAGACCCGGAAGACGGCGAACUCCGCUCCGCCCGACCCCAGGGCUCGGACUCGGGCUAAGACCCGGAAAACGGCGAACUCCGCUCCGCCCGACCCCAGGGCUCGGACUCGGGCUAAGACCCGGAAGACGGCGAUCUCCGCUCCGCCCGACCCCAGGGCUCGGACUCGGGCUAAGACCCGGAAGACGGCGAACUCCGCUCCGCCUGACCCCAGGGCUCGGACUCGGGCUAAGACCCGGAAGACGACGAAAAUCCGCCUCGCCCGACCCCAGGGCUCGGACUCCGCCCUGGCCUCGGCCGAACGACUUCCGCCUCGACCGACCCCUUGGCUCGGGCUCGGCCACGGCAACAGAAGGCAGACUCAACCUCGGCUUCGGAGGAAACCCCACGUCGCCCUGCCUAGGGCACAGACCGCCACGUCAACAGGAGGCGCCAUCAUCAUCCCACCCCGAAUCGACUCGGGUCACGGAGAACGAGACCGGCGUCUCAUUCGGCCAGCUCCGCCAGAGGGGCAAUGAUGGCGCUCCACAAGCUCUAUGACGACGGCGGCCCCUAGCUCUCUUACGGAAGCAGGACAACGUCAGCAGGGACUCGACCGCUCCAACAGCUGUCCCUCCAUCAGGCUCCGCCGCACCUCCAACAGCCACGACAUCACGCCAGCAGGGUGCCCAGAUCUCUCCGGCUGCCACAUUGGCAUGUACCUAGGGCGCUAGCUCUCCCUCCGCUAGACACGUAGCACUCUGCUACAUCCCCAUUGUACACCUGGAUCCUCUCCUUACGACUAUAAAAGGAAGGACCAGGGCCUUCUCAGAGAAGGUUGGCCGCGCGGGACCGAGGACGGGACAGGCGCUCUCUUGGGGCCGCUCGCUUCCCUCACCCGCGUGGACGCUUGUAACCCCCCUACUGCAAGCGCACCUGACCUGGGCGCGGGACGAACACGAAGGCCGCGGGACUUCCACCUCUCUCACGCUCGGCUCCGGCCGCCUCGCCUCUCCCCCCUUCGCGCUCGCCCACGCGCUCGACCCAUCUGGGCUGGGGCACGCAGCACACUCACUCGUCGGCUUAGGGACCCCCCUGUCUCGAAACGCCGACAGUUGGCGCGCCAGGUAGGGGGCUGCUGCGUGCUGACGAACAGCUCCCCGUCAAGCUCCAGAUGGGCAGUCUCCAGCAACCUCUCCAGCCCGGGACGGUGCUUCGUUUCGGGACUCUUGAGUUCAUGUCCUUCGACGGCAGCUACGACAUGACACUUCUUCCACCGCCGCGCGACUACGACAAUGGCGGCCGACAACCCGCCCGCUGGCGGCGGAAUCGACGACGUCUACCCCGCGUGGUGGAAGAGCAACAUUCGGGCUCGCUCCGUUCUCUCCCCCGCCAACGGAGGAGGAGGCGGGGCCGUCAAGGCCAGACGGGAGGCCACGCUUCGCCGGCCGUCGAGCGAAUCGACGCCCCCGACGCCCCGACGGAAGGCACGCCGGACGUCGACCUCGCGUUCGAGACGGAGGCAAGCACCGUCCCCCCGCGGCACGCUGACCCCGAGCAAGAAGACGACGCCGGCGCGCUCGCGGAAAGCCUGCAGGACGUCGCCCUCGAACCAGAGACGACGGCGCAACCAGUCCCCGAUGUGACUACGUCGCUCCUCGUCGACCAAAAGGUAACGACUAACUCCCAUCUUGCGUCAUUUCGACUCGGCCUCAACCCGCCAAACGACCUCGUUUUGGCGGGCGCUCUCAUUGAGGCGAGUGCAACCCCACUGAGGUUCUGUAUGCGGUCGCCUUGGGACCGACUGACGGACGUCUCGACCUACGGGCCCUCCGGGUCCGAGGAAGAUGACGAUCCCAGCAUCGGUUGGGAUUUCUCCGGACAUGGCAACCCCAGUGCCAUGCGGGACUUCAUGACCGCAUGUGACUACUGUCUAUCCGACCGUUCCGACGGAAGCCGCAGCCUCGGUGACGAGAGCUGCGGCCCAAGCCGCGAAUGUUUCCACAUCGAGCUAGGGGAUCCCACCGAAGGCAACCAUCUUGGCAUGCCGGAGGAUGGUGAUCUCCCUAGGCCGGUGCCUCGCGCCGACAUCCCACGGGAGCUAGCUGUGGUCCCCGCUCCGGCGGGGGGUUACGACCCACAACUCGAGCAAGUCCGCGAGGCGCAGGCCAGGCUCAACGAGGGAACAGGGGCGCUUGAGCCGAUCCGUCGGGACGCCGGACAGGCAUGGGUGGGCCAACCCCUGGCCGGAGAAAUACGUCAUCUGCCCCAAGGUCUCCAGCACCGCGUCGCCAACGACGUCAGGAUCAGGCCGCCGCCCGCAUCCAGCGGGGUCGGUCAGAACCUGGCGACCGCAGCGAUGCUCAUCCGCGCGAUGCCGGAGCCGUCAACCACCGAGGGACGGCGAAUACAGGGAGAACUCAAGAAUCUCCUGGAAGGCGCUGCGGCCCGGCGGGCCGAGAGCACUGCAUCCCGGAGGCAAGGAUAUCCCUCGGAACCUCAUGCCGCGACUUCCCGAUUCAUGCGGGAGGCCUCGGUCUACACCGGGCGCACGCGCAACACCGCGCCUGCGGCCCCGGGCCACCUCGGCAACGAGCACCAUCGACGCGACCGUCGGGCUCACCUCGACGAAAGGGUGCGCCGAGGCUACCACCCCAGGCGUGGGGGGCGCUACGACAGCGGGGAGGAUCGGAGUCCUUCGCCCGAACCACCCGGUCCGCAGGCCUUCAGUCGGGCCAUCCGACGGGCGCCAUUCCCGACCCGGUUCCGACCCCCGACUACUAUCACAAAGUACUCGGGGGAAACGAGACCGGAACUGUGGCUCGCGGACUACCGCCUUGCCUGCCAACUGGGCGGAACGGACGACGACAACCUCGUCAUCCGCAACCUCCCCCUGUUCCUCUCCGACACUGCUCGCGCCUGGUUGGAGCACCUGCCUCCGGGGCAGAUUUCCAACUGGGACGACUUGGUCCAAGCCUUCGCUGGCAAUUUCCAGGGCACAUACGUGCGCCCCGGGAACUCCUGGGACCUUCGAAGCUGCCGGCAACAGCCAGGGGAGUCGCUCCGGGACUAUAUCCGGCGAUUCUCGAAGCAGCGCACCGAGCUGCCCAACAUCACCGACUCGGAUGUCAUCGGCGCGUUCCUCGCCGGCACCACUUGCCGCGACCUGGUGAGCAAGCUGGGUCGCAAAACCGCCACCAGGGCGAGCGAGCUGAUGGACAUCGCCACCAAGUUCGCCUCCGGCCAGGAGGCGGUCGAGGCUAUCUUCCGAAAGGACAAGCAGCCCCAGGGCCGCCCGUCGGAAGAAGCUCCCGAGGCGUCUGCUCCGCGCGGCGCCAAGAAGAAAGGCAAGAAGAAGUCGCAAUCGAAACGCGACGCCGCAGACGCGGACCUUGUCGCCGCCGCCGAGUAUAAGAACCCUCGGAAGCCCCCCGGAGGUGCAAACCUCUUCGACAAGAUGCUCAAGGAGCCGUGCCCCUACCAUCAGGGGCCCGUCAAGCACACCCUCGAGGAGUGCGUUAUGCUUCGGCGUCAUUUCCACAGGGCCGGGCCACCCGCCGAGGGUGGCAGGGCCCACGACGACGACAAGAACGAAGAACACCCAGCAGGGGGGUUCCCCGAGGUCCGCGACUGCUUCAUGAUCUAUGGAGGGCAUGCGGCGAAUACCUCGGCUCGGCACCGCAAGCAAGAGCGCCGGGAGGUCUGCUCGGUGAAGGUGGCGGCGCCAGUCUACCUAGACUGGUCCGACAAGCCCAUCACUUUCGACCGGGCCGACCACCCCGACCAUGUGCCGAGCCCGGGGAAAUACCCGCUCGUCGUCGACCCCGUUGUCGGCGAUGUCAGGCUCACCAAGGUCCUGAUGGACGGGAGCAGCUGCCUCAACAUCAUCUACGCCGAGACCCUCAAGCUUCUGCGCGUCGAUCCGUCCUCCGUCCGAGCAGGUGCUGCGCCCUUCCACGGGAUCAUCCCUGGGAAGCGCGUCCAGCCCCUCGGGCGACUCGACCUCCCAGUCUGCUUCGGGACACCCUCCAACUUCCGAAGGGAGACCCUGACGUUCGAAGUGGUCGGGUUCCGAGGAACCUACCACGCCGUGUUAGGGAGGCCAUGCUACGCGAAGUUCAUGGCCGUCCCCAACUACACCUACCUGAAGCUCAAGAUGCCGGGCCCCAACGGGGUCAUCACCGUCGGCCCCACGUACAAACACGCGUUCGAAUGCGACGUGGAGUGCGUGGAGUACGCCGAGGCCCUCGCCGAGUCCGAGGCCCUCAUCGCCGACCUAGAGAACCUCUCCAAGGAGGUCCCAGACGUGAAGCGCCAUGCCGGCAACUUCGAGCCAGCGGAGACGGUCAAGGCCGUCCCCCUCGACCCCAGCGGCGACACCACCAAGCAGAUCCGGAUCGGUUCCGGGCUCGACCCCAAAUAGGAAGCAGUGCUCGUCGACUUUCUCCGCGCAAACGCCGACGUCUUUGCGUGGAGUCCCUCGGACAUGCCCGGCAUACCAAGGGAUGUCGCCGAGCACUCGCUGGAUAUUCGGGCCGGAGCCCGACCCGUCAGGCAGCCUCUGCGCCGAUUCGACGAGGAGAAGCGCAGAGCGAUUGGCGAAGAGAUCCACAAGCUAAUGGCGGCAGGGUUCAUCAAAGAGGUAUUCCAUCCCGAAUGGCUUGCCAACCCUGUGCUUGUGAGGAAGAAAGGGGGGAAAUGGUGGAUGUGUGUAGACUACACUGGUCUCAACAAAGCAUGUCCGAAGGUUCCCUACCCUCUGCCUCGCAUCGACCAAAUCGUGGAUUCCACUGCUGGGUGCGAAACCCUGUCCUUCCUCGAUGCCUACUCGGGGUAUCACCAGAUCCGGAUGAAAGAGUCCGACCAGCUCGCGACUUCUUUCAUCACGCCGUUCGGCAUGUACUGCUACGUCACCAUGCCGUUCGGCCUGAGGAAUGCAGGCGCGACGUACCAGCGGUGCAUGAACCAUGUGUUCGGCGAACACAUCGGUCGCACAGUCGAGGCCUACGUCGAUGACAUCGUGGUCAAGACACGGAAGGCUCCCAGCCUCCUCUCCGACCUUGAAGUGACAUUCCGGUGUCUCAAGGCGAAAGGAGUCAAGCUUAAUCCUGAGAAGUGUGUCUUCGGGGUGCCCCGAGGCAUGCUCCUAGGGUUCAUCGUCUCUGAGCGAGGCAUCGAGGCCAACCCGGAGAAGAUUGCGGCCAUCACCAGCAUGGGGCCCAUCAAGGACUUAAAAGGGGUACAGAGGGUCAUGGGAUGCCUCGCGGCCCUGAGCCGCUUCAUCUCACGCCUCGGCGAAAGAGGUCUGCCUCUGUACCGCCUCUUAAGGAAGGCCGAGUGUUUCGUUUGGACCCCUGAGGCCGAGGAAGCCCUCGGCAACCUGAAGGCGCUCCUUACAAAGGCGCCAGUCUUGGUGCCGCCGGCGGACGGAGAAACCCUCUUGGUCUACGUCGCCGCGACCACUCAGGUGGUUAGCGCCGCGAUUGUGGUCGAAAGGCAGGAGGAAGGGCAUACAUUGCCCGUUCAGAGGCCGGUCUACUCCAUCAGCGAAGUGCUGUCCGAGACUAAGAUCCGCUACCCACAAGUUCAAAAGCUGCUGUAUGCUGUGAUCCUGACGAGGCGGAAGCUACGACACUACUUCGAGUCCCAUCCGGUAACUGUGGUGUCAUCCUUCCCCCUGGGGGAGAUCAUCCAGUGCCGAGAGGCCUCAGGCAGGAUCGCAAAGUGGGCAGUGGAGAUCAUGGGUGAAACGAUCUCGUUCGCCCCUCGGAAGGCCAUCAAGUCCCAAGUGUUGGCGGAUUUCGUGGCUGAAUGGGUCGACACCCAACUACCAACGACUCCGAUCCAACCGGAGCUCUGGACCAUGUUUUUCGACGGGUCGCUGAUGAAGACGGGGGCCGGUGCGGGCCUUCUCUUCAUCUCGCCCCUCGGAAAGCACUUGCGCUACGUGCUGCGCCUCCACUUCCCGGCGUCCAACAAUGUGGCCGAGUACGAAGCUCUGGUCAACGGAUUGCGGAUCGCCAUCGAGCUAGGGGUCAGACGCCUCGACGCCCGCGGUGACUCGCGGCUCGUCAUCGACCAAGUCAUGAAGAACUCCCACUGCCGCGACCCGAAGAUGGAGGCCUACUGCGACGAGGUUCGGUGCCUGGAAGACAAGUUCUUCGGGCUCGAGCUCAACCACAUCGCUCGGCGCUACAACGAAACCGCAGACGAGCUGGCCAAGAUAGCCUCGGGGCGAACGACGGUCCCCCCGGACGUCUUCUCCCGGGAUCUACAUCAACCCUCCGUCAAGCUCGACGACGCACCCGAGCCUGAGGUACCCUCGGCUCAGCCCGAGGUAUCCUCGGCUCAGCCCGAGGUACCCUCGGCUCAGCCCGAGGUACCCUCGGCCCCCGAGGGCGGGGCGUUGAACGUCGAGGAAGGGCAGAGCGGGGCCACGCCAGACCAAGAUUGGCGGGCCCCAUACCUGCAAUAUCUCCGUCGAGGAGAGCUACCCCUCGACCAAGUCGAGGCUCGGCGGGUAGCGCGACGCGCCAAGUCAUUCGUCUUGCUGGGCGACGAAGAGGAACUCUACCAUCGCAGCCCCUCGGGCAUCCUCCAGCGAUGCAUCCCCAUCGCCGAAGGUCGGGAACUGCUGCAAGAAGUACACUCGGGGGCUUGCGGCCACCACGCAGCACCCCGAGCCCUUGUUGGAAAUGCCUUCCGGCAAGGCUUCUACUGGCCAACGGCGGUGGCUGACGCCACUAGGAUUGUCCGCACCUGCGAAGGGUGCCAAUUCUAUGCGAAGCGGACACACCUGCCCGCUCAGGCUCUGCAGACAAUACCCAUCACCUGGCCCUUCGCUGUAUGGGGUCUCGACCUCGUCGGUCCCUUGCAGAAGGCGCUCGGGGGCUACACGCACCUGCUGGUCGCCAUCGACAAAUUCUCCAAGUGGAUCGAGGUCCGACCCCUGAACAGCAUCAGGUCCGAGCAGGCGGUGGCAUUCUUCACCAACAUCAUCCAUCGCUUCGGGGUCCCGAACUCCAUCAUCACCGACAACGGCACCCAGUUCACCGGCAAAAAAUUCUUGGAUUUUUGAGAAGAUCACCAUAUCCGGGUGGACUGGGCCGCCGUGGCUCAUCCCAUGUCGAAUGGGCAGGUAGAGCGUGCCAACGGCAUGAUUCUACAAGGGCUCAAGCCUCGGAUCUACAACGACCUCAACAAGUUCGGCAGGCGAUGGAUGAAGGAACUCCCCUCGGUGGUCUGGAGCCUAAGGACGACGCCGAGUCGUGCCACGGGCUUCACGCCGUUUUUUCCUGGUCUACGGGGCUGAAGCUAUCUUGCCCACUGACCUAGAAUACGGCUCCCCAAGGGCGAGGGCCUACACCGAACAAAGCAACCAAGCCAGCCGAGAGGAAUCGCUGGACCAGUUGGAGGAAGCUCGGGACAGGGCCUUACUACACUCGGCGCGGUACCAACAGUCCCUGCGACGCUACCACGCCCGAGGGGUCCGGUCCCGAGAACUCCAGGUGGGCGACCUGGUGCUUCGGCUGCGACAAGACGCCCGAGGGAGGCACAAGCUCACGCCCCCCUGGGAAGGGCCAUUCGUCAUCGCCAAAGUUCUGAAGCCCGGAACAUACAAGCUGGCCAGCAAUCAAGGCGAGAUCUACGGCAACGCUUGGAACAUCAAACAGCUACGUCGCUUCUAUCCUUAAGAUGUUUUCAAGUUGUUCAUAUACCUCGCACCUACGCAAAGUUUAGUUGUCAAGGAAGGGUCGGCCUAGCCUCGGCAAAACCCGACCCUCCCUCGGGGGCUAAAAGGGGGGAGACCCCCUCUGCGUCGAAUUUUUCCUCGAAAAAGGAUCUCUUUUUAGCAGGAUUUCUUUCGUGCUUCUUGACUACUUCGGAAAGCGGAUCCUGGAAACGACGAGGUACACGUAAGCAGCCAAGGCUGACCGAGCCGAGGGACUCCUACGCCUCCGGGAUACAGAUACCUCACUCGUCCCCUUCUGCGAUAAGUAACUUGCGCUCGGAUAAAGCGACUCCGUGGACCGAACGAGUCAUCACGUUCGGAAGCUCUCCUGCCGAAGCAGUCCUUCAAGCUUUCUCGACUAAGUCGGGGACAGGGCCUCAUGGACGGGUGAAAGUACGCGUAAGCGGCAAGGCCGACCGAGCCGAGGGAUUCCCACGCCUCUGGGAUACGGAUACCUCACUCGUCCCUUCCGCGAAAAGCAGCUCUUGCUCACACAAACAUCCCUGUUACCGACGAAGUCCAGAUGCUCGAAACAGGAGGAAAAAAGGCGCAGCUUCGCAAGUGCAGCGAGGGUGUUUUCUUCUGGCCUCGGCGGCCGCAGGAAGCACACGCUACAAGAUGAUCGGAUCCUGCAGGCUCGGGUCUUCACGCCGAAGGGAGCUGUAGCACCCUCGGCAUCGACGACGUCUUCAGCAAAGCCCGACCCAGCCUCGGGCGGCGCCGCGGUCCAGGGGUUCCUCCGGGAAUCCGGCCCGAGCAGGCGGCUCAACCGGUUACCCCUGGGGCCUCGGUCAACUGGCUCCCAAGGGCGCCAGCCCGAUCCGAGGCCUCGACUGAUCGACUUUGGCGUCGGCCCCGCUGACGGACAACACGGCUAGGCUCCGGCCAACCAGGUUCCCAUUCUCGAGCCAACUCCGCCUCUGUUCAUACUGAUAUCGCUACCCCCGGCCUCGAUCCACCGAAGGGCGACCGAGGGGUCUCUUCAACUAAGCUAGAGGAGCCUCACAUAACAAGGCCGAACGGGCCGAGGGAUUCCUACGCCUCCGGGAUACGGAUACCUCACCCGUCACCUUGACACGGGGCAACUCAUGCUUGGUAAAGCGGUUCAGAUAAUCAAACAGGCGAGACCUAGUGCUCGAAAAUGAGGAAAAAACACGGCUCCGUGCCAAAAUUACAUACACGUUCAGGCCUCGACAGCCACAAUGAACGAACUCACUGGCAUUCGAAGUGCCAUUACAAACGGAACUCCGGUUCCCCCUCCGCAGGUACGAACAACCCCACUCCGAGGGGGAAGGCCUGCGGAGCAACGGAAGGCCAACGAACGGCGCGCCGUCACCUACUCCAGCAGUGGCGACGACGGCGACUUCUGCUCCGGGGGCCGAACAGCGGCAACGCUGACCUCAGGGUGGAUGCCGCUGCCAGGAGGCCCCCGCCCGUGCCAAAACUCGUGAGGCAAGGACGGGCAGAAGGCCGUAGAAGUUGGAGGUCAGCCCGUGGCCGGUCCCGGCCGCCGCGCCGGCGGAAGAACCUCUUCCGGCUGCCGUGGCAGACGCCGACGCCGCAAGUGGCCCCGAAGCCACUCGCGGCUGAAGACCAGGCACGCUGCAGCUGCCGGACGCCACGGGCAAUGCCCGCUUCUCCCCCCAUCACUGAGUGAAGGAGCGGGCCACCGCCCACGCAGGGGCCGACCCCAACUCGGCACUCUCCCCUCCCCGGCCUUGGUGAUGAAAAUCCUUGAGGCUGAGGAAGGGGCAGAGGCCGCAGCCCGGCUCGCUUUCCCCCACCAUCAAGCUGGAGGUCGCCAUCUCGGGUGACCGCCGGUGAAGGGGUGCGACCGGGCUGCGUGAUGAAAAUCCUUGAAGCCGAACGAUGGCUGAGAGGUACCAACUCCCAUGGAGUUGCGUUCCUCCAACGAGGAGGCGGAAAGGCGGCGGAUACCCCCCAUCCGGGGGCUUGGAAGACGGGAAGACCCGACGCUUAAGGGAGGAAGAAGACAUGGUUGCCUUACGAAGGGAGCCUCCCUCCUUUUAAAAGCAACUCCCCUACGUGCGCCCCCAAGCGCCGCGGGCCGAGUCUUCUCCAACACGCUCCAAGGCCCUCCCCUGCGACUCGGGGGCUGGGUCCCGCAUGUCAUGCAAGCCGGCUCAGGGCAGAAGAAGCCAAACCGCCGCGCAUGGUGCGCACGACCGUCCAGCGGUUACAGGCGACCCCCCAUUUUCGCCCAGACCAACGGGCGGGAGGGGCGGGCAGCCAUGCAGGCGGCAUGCAACCGCGCCAGAUGGACGCGCUUCUCCGACUUCUGACACGCCAGCCUGGAACCCAGGCCCACGCGUCGAGCAACCGGCACGCCAGUUGCUGCAUGCAAGCAACCGCACCGCCACUUGUGCCACCAUCGCGCCUCUUCGGUUGCGAAGCCUGUGCCACGACUCGAGGCGACCCAACAGCGCCAGACUGGCGCGUCGGUCAAAGCGACCGAAAGUGGGCCGGCAGUAAUAGCGGUGGCAGGCGGGCGGGCACAGCAGUCACGUCGUCAGCCAGGCUCACGUCCCAUCCUGAGACAGCAAGGGAGCCUCCUCUCACGGCGUGAAGACAGUGCACCCGUGACCCAUUCCUCGAACGGAUCGCACGCGCGCAACGGCCGCCCCGUCAACCACUCACCCCGUCGCAUUAACUCCGCGGCGAGACACGCGGCGCUUCUGGCAGGAGGAGCGCGCGACGCUUCACCUUCGCCGUAAUAACCGCGUCAGAAAAGGUACGCCACGUCGUCCGAUUUCGUAUCCUUUUCCGUUUUCCUCUUUCUCUAUCUCUUGCAACAGGGACCGGGAAAGGGGGAUACCCCGAAAGGGAUCCUUCUCCGCGAAGGAACCGGGCUCCGAGCCCCCCAUUACUGAUCAGGGGUUCGAAGGUUGGCCCCCCGAGGGUUCAACAGUCGCCUCAGAUCGCGUGGGCCCGACACCCACUACUGGUCAGGGGUUCGAAGGCCAGCCCCCCGAAGGGCUUCAUGGCCGCCUCAGGCUACUCGGGCUCCGCGCCCAUUACUGAUCAGGGGUUCGAAGGCUGGCCCCCGAAGGGUUCACAGUCGCCUCAGACACCGAGCGAGGGAUGACCAGGGGUACGUUCGAUACAUAACCGAGGCUCGGGCUGCGCUCCCGAGGUACCCUAGGACAUUUCCGAGACCAGUGGGAACGAUCUUGUAACGGAAUCCCAUCGGAGGGAGGCAUCGAGCCCUCAGACCCCGUCGCCAGGGGACCGGGUCCGGCAAAUCACCCGCAGGUACUUUUGGGCGUGCCUCUGGGCCCCUAGCCGACCCCCAACGAACGGGGCACAGACGUCCACUCGGAUUACCCGCUUGCAGCUCACCGGAGACACCAUGUUCGGUGCCCAUCGAGGGUAACAUGGCGCACUCCCCCCCUCCUCCUUGCGGAAAGGCGACGAAGGGGCGUAUGUAAAAAGCCGAGUCUGUCCCUGAUCGUCCUCUCGCCCUGUGCAGAGGCUCGGGGGCUGCUCUCGCAAAAACCGGCUCCGGCCAAAUCGUUGACAGCGUCAACAUACCAGCCCGAGAGCUUGGGCCCCGACCGUGCACCCGGGCUACGGCCAGUUCGCAUGAGGGAACGACCAGACCAGCCAAAGUAUUAAGACCUCGAAGGAGUGUAACCACUCCUCCGAGGCCUCGGGGGCUACACCCGGCGGGUGCGCUCGCGCGCACCCACCGGAACGAAAUGCAACCGAGAAAGGCUGGUCCCCUUGCAAAAAAGUGCGACAAAAGCCUCCAAGCGAGUGCUAACACUCCCUUCGAGGCUCGGGGGCUACUGUCGGGGACCAUAAUUAGGGGUACCCUCAAGACGCCUAAUUCUCAGCUGGUAACCCCCAUCAGCAUAAAGCUGCAAAGGCCUGAUGGGCAUGAUUAAGUCAGGGAUCAGUCCACACGAGUGACUCGAUCACGCUUCACCUGAGCCUAGCCUCGGCCGAAGGCAGCCAACCUCGAGAGACUUCCGUCUCGCCCGAGGCCCCCUUUUUAUGGCGGACACAUCACCGGCUCGCCCAAGGCCUUGGCUUCGCUCAGAAGCAACCUUGACUAAAUCACCACACCGACUGACCAAAUUGCAGGGGCAUUUAACGCACAGGAGGCCUGACACCUCUAUCCUGACACGCGCCUCCGGCAGAGCCGAGGUGACCGCCGUCACUCCACCGCUCCACUGGCCAGUCUGACAGAAGGACAGCGCCGCCUGCGCCACUCCGACUGCAGCGCCACUCGACAGAGUAAGUCUGACAGGCAGUCAGGCCUCGACAAAGGCGCCACGGCAAACUCCGCUCCGCCCGACCCCAGGGCUCGGACUCGGGCUAAGACCCGGAAGACGGCGAACUCCGCUCCGCCCGACCCCAGGGCUCGGACUCGGGCUAAGACCCGGAAGACGGCGAACUCCGCUCCGCCCGACCCCAGGGCUCGGACUCGGGCUAAGACCCGGAAGACGGCGAACUCCGCUCCGCCCGACCCCAGGGCUCGGACUCGGGCUAAGACCCGGAAAACGGCGAACUCCGCUCCGCCCGACCCCAGGGCUCGGACUCGGGCUAAGACCCGGAAGACGGCGAUCUCCGCUCCGCCCGACCCCAGGGCUCGGACUCGGGCUAAGACCCGGAAGACGGCGAACUCCGCUCCGCCCGACCCCAGGGCUCGGACUCGGGCUAAGACCCGGAAGACGACGAAACUCCGCCUCGCCCGACCCCAGGGCUCGGACUCCGCCCUGGCCUCGGCCGAACGACUUCCACCUCGACCGACCCCUUGGCUCGGGCUCGGCCACGGCAACAGAAGGCAGACUCAACCUCGGCUUCGGAGGAAACCCCACGUCGCCCUGCCUAGGGCACAGACCGCCACGUCAACAGGAGGCGCCAUCAUCAUCCCACCCCGAAUCGACUCGGGUCACGGAGAACGAGACCGGCGUCUCAUCCGGCCAGCUCCGCCAGAGGGGCAAUGAUGGCGCUCCACAAGCUCUAUGACGACGGCGGCCCCUAGCUCUCUUACGGAAGCAGGACAACGUCAGCAGGGACUCGACCGCUCCAACAGCUGUCCCUCCAUCAGGCUCCGCCGCACCUCCAACAGCCACGACAUCACGCCAGCAGGGUGCCCAGAUCUCUCCGGCUGCCACAUUGGCAUGUACCUAGGGCGCUAGCUCUCCCUCCGCUAGACACGUAGCACUCUGCUACAUCCCCAUUGUACACCUGGAUCCUCUCCUUACGACUAUAAAAGGAAGGACCAGGGCCUUCUCAGAGAAGGUUGGCCGCGCGGGACCGAGGACGGGACAGGCGCUCUCUUGGGGCCGCUCGCUUCCCUCACCCGCGUGGACGCUUGUAACCCCCCUACUGCAAGCGCACCUGACCUGGGCGCGGGACGAACACGAAGGCCGCGGGACUUCCACCUCUCUCACGCUCGGCUCCGGCCGCCUCGCCUCUCCCCCCUUCGCGCUCGCCCACGCGCUCGACCCAUCUGGGCUGGGGCACGCAGCACACUCACUCGUCGGCUUAGGGACCCCCCUGUCUCGAAACGCCGACAAGCAGGGCAUCACUACGUAGCCUUUACAAAGAUUCCCCGAGGCUGUAGCCGCCCGUUAAGUUUCCUAAAUGUACCGCACUCCUCCCUAAGGGACAAAUCAACCUUGGCAGAGCGAGCCGCAUACACCGAGCCCCAUUGACGGCACAACGGCUAAGCGAACUACAACCCGGUUCCUCUAAUUACUCAGCUAAGGGCGUCCCACUCCACCCUCAUGGUUGCACUGUUUUCCCGGGCAGUCAUCCAACGAACAGGUCCUUACGGAGAGGCACUCGAGAAACCGCUCGAGCCCCCUUGAAGGUCACAAGUAUAACAUCAUAAUAAAAAAGGGGAAAACAACGUAUCAUAAAUAAUUCUCAUCAUGUUCAUUGAUUAAUGUUAAGCAAUAGCAUAAAGCUAACCAAUAAUAAUCCAACCCAAGUAGGUAAACAAGGACAUGGAUAACAAAAGCUAGUCAAUCCUUAGGCAUAAAUGUGUAAUGCGGGAGGUGAAUUAAAGAAUGAAUAGGACAGAGAUAGGUCAAGGGACACUUGCCUCCACCAACCGACUGCUGCUCAGGGGCUUCUCCUGUGAGCUCUUCGGGUUCUUCAACCGGAUCGUUCUCUAUGCGAGUGCAAACAUACAUACAUCCAUCCAUUCAAAUUAGGAAACAAACAGUACACCAUACAAGAGAACAAAAAGAUUAAACAUGCAUAAAAUAUGACAUACGAUAUUGCAUUUACCAUGGUUAGAAAGAGACGGGGGAGGGUCUCGUGGGGUCAAAGCUUACUCGAAACGUAUUACGGGUAGAUGCAUAACUAAGCGCUACGUGACUUAAUUCCAUCGAGUUACACUAACAAGUAUUAGCCACAUGCGUUAAUAUAACUAUAACUAUUUUCAAUUGAUCAACAUUGAACGAGGUCCAAGAUUAGCUACAUGCACUAAUUGAAACAUAACCACUUUUAGUAGAUCAACAUUAAAUGGGAUAGCCCAUUAACUAUAUAAAUUAACUAAUGUAACCAAUUCCUAAAUUGAGUUUCCUAUUUUAUUAACAUGAACAACGUGACUAGCGCGCAUAAAAUAUAGGGUAGAUGGGCACGUCUAGGGGUAGACGAGGGCAUGACGAGCCGUGCCAAGGCACCACGCACUACACGAGUAGCGCGAGCGCAAGGCUGCACACACGCGCCGCGAACUAGCCGUGCACACGUCGGGGCCGCGCGCCAAAGGCACGUUGGACCUAGCUCGAGGCCGCACCGGGGCCGUCACGACGCGAGCAGGACACGUCGGGGCGGGCGGGCAAGCACGCCGGGGCGAGCGAGCACGGGCGAGCGAGGACGCUGCGGAUCACGGCGGGCCACCAUUGCCGCGCCAUGGCCGGGACGGGGCCGAGGCCGGGCGGGGAAGCGGCGUGGGCGGGACGGGGACGAGCGCGUGAGCGGGGGGGGGGGGGUCAGGGACGCUGCGCGGGUGCCAAGGGCAAGGCCGGGCGGGGACGAGGCCGGGCCGCGCCGGGGAGAGGGAGGGAGGGGGAGAGGAGAGGGAGGAGGGGGGAGGGGCUUACCACGCGGGGGAGGGAGGCCGGCGGCGAGCGGUGCGGCGGCGAGCCGAGUGAGGGCGCAGGCGGAUCGGGCAGGGGAGCAAGGGCGAGCAGGGGAGGGGAGAGGAAGGGGGUUUGGGGAGGGGCCCGCUCGGGGGAGGUGGUGGCGGUUUUCCCAACCGCGCGCGCGGUGGGCGCAGCGUGGGGAGCGGGGGGAGCUGGCGGGGGCGGCUGGGCCGGCUGGCCAGCGCAGUGCCCACGGCGGGAAGGGAGAGAGGGGGGGGGGAAGAGGCCGGCUGGGCCGGGCGCGAGGGGGGGGGCUGGGCCGAAAUGGGAGGAGAGGGGGAAAGAUAGAAGAAAAGAUUGUCCUUUUUUAUAUUUAUUUUCUAUAUGAAUGCUUUCACACGUUCAAACAAUCAAAGAAAUGCAUGGUUCGACAUGUGCAACAGACCAAAGAAAAUAACCCUAGUGUUUACUAUUAUCACAUAACCUAAAGUUUUUAAGUCGGGUGAGGUUUUAGCGAAAAGAAAUGGAAAGAGGGGUAACGCCUGAAUUUAGCGAGCGAUAGAGAAAAGAAAAAAAUUCAACUCGAAAUUCGGGGCGUUACAACAGGUAGCACAACAAUCAAGCUUAGGAGUAAUACUGAUUUGCAAUAAUAUACUGAAGAUACAAGGUACCGUCCUUUGAAGAGCCAGAUGCAGAUUCUCAUCAAAGUCCUUUGCUUGAUUCACCAAUAAUGAUUAAGGACUUCUACAACUUAUUUAACUUGAGAUGAACAUGGGAUUAGUAUUGCACAAUAAUCCACCCUUGAGUUAAUAGACAAUAAAGAUCAACAGCUUAAGCAUAGAGUUUAAAUUAACCAUCUUAAGCUCUCCCAGGGUCUCCAUUCCAUCUCGAGGCACCUGCAGGGUCUAGUUGACAAAGUUUGGUACCCAUCUCGGGAUGGGUCCUUGACGUUCAACUAAAAAUGCCUUUGGUACCCAAAUAGCCUUUGUGCUAGUUCUAGGUGAUCUCGUUAUAGAUCUAGCACAAGUGUAUGAUUCGGGUCUCCUAAGCUAAUGAGAUUUAGACAAAUUUACUUGCUUAGGAACCUUACCUUUAUUACAUACCUUUGAUAGAUGACCCUGCUCACCACACUUGUAGCAGAAGCGUCGCUCAACCUGACAUGACGCUUGCUGUUUGUCAUUUUCCUUGGUGAGAGUCAUCUUGGAGAAUGCACAUCUUUGAUUCUUCAUGACCGAACAUGAAAUGAUCAUGUGGUCCUUGUUGUUGCAUCCAAAACAUCUCAUUGUCCCUUCAUCCUUGUCGUUGUACGGACAAGAUGCGAUGAGGUGGCCUAAUGCUUUGCACUUGAAGCAUCUCCUUUUUCCUCUUAUCUUUUGACUUAUUGCUUUAGGACCAUCUUUCGCAAGGAGGUUAACCCUUGCUGCGGUUUCUCCUUCCUCAUGUUUCUUCACCAUGUGUUUGUAGAUAUCUUGAGGAAGUCGAGCAUGGCGUCUUCUCCUUAGUUGUCUUUGUUUCUUGUUCCCAAGCAAUUUUCUUUUAGACCCUACAACUUGUUGCUCAAUCAAGGAUUGGCUUUCUUUUGAGGAGCGGGGGUUAGAACAUGGUGAUAUACAAUUUGAAUGCGUACACUUGCAAGAAUGAGGUUCACAUGAAUUUAAGUUUGCAAAGACAACCUUAUUAGCAAUAUUGAGCAUGAUAUGGUCAUCAACCAAUUCACUAUGAGAAUUUGACAACAUAUCAUACUUUUCAUUUAGAGCAAGUUUUUCAAGAUUUAGCAUCUCUACUUGACUCCUAAGCAUAGAAUUUUCAGCUUUAAGUUGAGCAACACAAGAUAAAGUAUCAUCAUUAUUUCUUUGCUCAAUUAAAAAUGAAUCAUACCGCUGGACCAAAUCAUCAUGAGAGCACUUUAGCUCCUCAUGUUCUUUGGUCAUCUUCUCCAGGCUGUUGUUUGUUUUGAUGAGUGUCUCCUCUAGCCUGAGAAGCGUCUCGCCUUGUUCCUUGUUUCUUCUCAACAGCUUAACCAAGAGCGCUUUGUCCUCUUUGUUGAGAUGGAUGUAGAAACGGUGAAUCUCCUCUUCUUCUACAUCGUCGAUCUCAUAUUCCCUGUCACUAUUGUCAGUGGAAGCAAUAUAGGGAAAUGUACCUUGUGAUGAUGUAGACUCCUCAUCAUUGCUUUCGUCUCCACUAUCAUCGUUAGCAAUAAGACAUUUAUAACUAGUGGAAGACAAACCUUUCGGUGAGGUAGAUUCAUCGUUUGGUGGCCAACGCUUUUCUUCUCCCUUUGAAGGGUUAGUAUCACAAGCAAUAUAGGGAGUAGGAGCAUCACAAUUUGCCACAGAAUAUUUUACUUUAAUUCUAUUCCAUAAAUCAUGAGCAUCAACAAAUAAAUCACUAUCACUACUCAUGAUGGCAAAAUAAGCACUUCUAGAAAGAGAGUCAACUAAGAUGUUGCAAGCACGGUGAUUGAGAGAUAAACAUCUUAGUUCAGUAUUAGAGGGAUUUUUACUAAUAUCAGAGGGAAAAAUACUUCUACUAAAGAUUUGUCUUAAAUCAGGAUCAACACUCAUGAAGGCAUUAUAAAUAGAGACAGACCAAGAUUUAUAAUUAGAUCCAUCGCCUAGAAGAAGUUCUACAGUUACCUCUUGUGACGACAUCGUCAUCUCCGGACGGCUAAGCCCACACUAGAGAGGCCUAGCUCUGAUACCAAUUGAAAGUUCCCUUUACCCGGGAACAUGAUCUGGAUGUCUCCUAGAGGGGGGGGGGGUGAAUAGGCGAAUAAAAAUUAUCAUUGUAAAACUUAAAUUCUUACUCUACUCGAAGACUAGAACGCAGUGGAAUGAGAAGACCCUUCGAGUAGGUUGCAGCGGAAUAGAAGAUCCUGUCUCAAAACGUCCUGCACUUCAAAUAUAACUUGUACCAUAGAUAAGUGUUGAAAUGCAGAUAUAAAAGCGAGUAAGACAGAGAGUCAGAACACAAUACAGAACAGAGCACACAGACGCAAGGAUUUAUCUCGAGGUUCGGCCAAGCCUAAAACGCUUGCCUAGUCCUCGUUGGAGUUAGCCACACUUGGGCUUGGAGUCUAUUUCAACUCCUUCCUCCGUUUGCUCAAAUCUGUCAAUCUGACAGGUAGAGCCUUCCACUAUGUUGAGAUGGUUACAACGAAACUGUGGCUGCUUACAAUCUUCUUGGCAGCACUCCGGUAGAGUAACGAUAUGCUCAAGACCUUGCUCUAGCUCUUAGCAGCUCUUCUCCACUCUCUAAAGGCUUAUAGCUUUGCCUUCUACACAAACUAGAGAGAUACACACAAGAGGGAGAGUGAGAAUUGAUCAGAGUGAUGUAUACUAUCAUUGGCUGCGCUUGUCUAUUGUUUAAGGCGCCUAGAGGUCCCUUUUAUAGGCCCAAGGGGCCUAGGAGCCGUUGGAAGCAAUCCAGGAAGGCAAAUCUUGCCUUUUGUCGGGUGGCGCACCGAACAGUCCGGUGCACCACCGGACAUCCACUAUUCAUGGUCCGGUGCGGAUCUCCUUCCAAACUUGGCGCAGUCGACCGUUGCAGACUGGGAGCCGUUGGCGCACCGGACACUGUCCGGUGCACACCGGACAGUCCGGUGCCCCCAUCUGACCGUUGGCUCGGCCACGCGUCACGAGCGGAUUGCGCGGUCGACCGUUGGCCCGGCUGACCGUUGGCUCACCGGACAGUCCGGUGCACCACCGGACAGUCCGUUGGACUAUAGCCGUACACUGUUGACUUGAUUCCCGAGAGCGGCGACUUCGCCUCAGCCCACUCACCGGACAGUCUGGUACACCACCGGACAGUCCGGUGAUUUAUAGCCGUACGCCACUGUCGAGACCCGAGAGCAGCCGGUUGACCAGACGCCAGCCUGGCGCACCGGACACUGUCCGGUGCACCACCGGACACUGUCCAGUGCACCACCGGACAGUCCGGUGCACCCAGACUUCGUAUAGUCAUGGCUGCACCAGCCAAGUCUUUCUCUUUUUGUAUUUUCUCUUCUUUUCUUCUUCUCUUUGUUUCUAAUACUUAGACAAAUAUGUUAGUACACAAAAACCAAUGUACUAAGUCUAGAAACAUACCUUCUCUUGGACUUUCACUUCUCUAGCACUUGACAUGCUUAAGAUUGAUAUUGGACUCAUAAAUCAUCAAGUCAGCUUGACUUGAUCUAGAUUAUCAUUUCUGAGCUCCAACAUCCUGCAAAGGUCACAUAGAAUAUCUCCAAACAUAGGAACAACCCGAACUAAAGGUCAAAGUGCACUUAGCUCUUUUGGGCGGCUUCCAGUUCUGAUUUUGACAUUUGUUCUCCUUCUAGUGACUUUGUUCUCCUUCUUAGAGCUUGAUCUUGAGCCUUAUGACUUACACCACAUAACUAUAGAUGUUUCCUCAUUGGUUGUAAGUCACGUCCUUAUGUAGUGAUCCUUGAUGUGCCAUAGCUCUUCUCAACUCGAUCACCCUUGACUUUGCAAGUCUUCUUCUUCACCCUUGGCUUUGGGUUCCUCAGCCUCUUUGACCUUCUCCCAUGCACUUGGUACCUCAAAGCUCUUCUUGCCUCCAUCCUUGGCUUGAUCAGUUGUCUCCGAGCUAUGCACCCGAGUCUCACUUUAUGCAAUGUGCAUCUUACUUGUGAUGUCCAUUAUCUAUCCAUAAUCUAGUCCUUGGACCGUCACACUUGUUCACUUGUGUUGAACCUUGUUAGCUUUACAUUAAGCACCUGUUCAACACUUAGCACACUUGUUAGUCCUUUAAUUGAGUUGUCAUCCAAACACCAAAACCCAAAAGAUAACUUUCACAUACAUGCGCCAAGAAGACAACAUAUAUAAUAACAGAGUGUAUAGAGAUAAAUGUCAAUAACAUCAGAGUAUUUUUACAUAGCGAAGGUCUUAUUACAAAAUUAAAGAUAAAUAUAAAACGAACUAAGGAUCGUCCUUGGCGCAAAAGUCAACUGGGGACACGCAACCUAGAUCAGAUCAAACUCCUCGCCUUGUGGUUCCUCCUGAAUCACCUGUUCUUCUCCUGUGGGGGGUGUGAGACAGCAAGGGUGAGCUCACACAUGAUCAUAGCUCAAUAAGUUGUGGGGAAACCAGUGGGCAUGAACUCACAAAGGUGGGAGUUCAUGUGAUGUGUAAGGCUAAUCAAUGACAGGGGUUAAAGCUGAGCAUUGCUUUUAAUUAGUUGGUCAAAAUUUUAUUAGCAGUUACUAGAUGUAAGUGUCGGCGUCUUGGACCCGGGGGGUCCCUUGGACCGACCAGUGAAAUCGCUACGUGCCCCUGCCCAGAUGGGUUGGCGCGAGAUGGAACACAAGAGGUGGGACAAGCCUUGUAUUAUCCUGCACCAGGGGUGCCGCUCGUAGUAGGGGUUACAAGCGCGUCGCGUGGGAGAGAGAGAGAGACACAGAGUCCGUCCGCCGCUUCCCCCGCGCGAACCCCCCUCAGGGUGGCCCUGGACCUCCCUUUUAUAGAGGCAAGGAGAGGGUCCAGACGUACAACGGGGGGCGUAGCUAUGCGCUAACGUGUCUGGCAGUGGAGUGCCUUAGCCCUGUGUACAUGCCAACGUGGCCAUUAGGGGAGAACUUGGGCCCUGUACAUGUGAUGGCGUGGCCGUCGGAGGAGCGCUUGAGUCCUUUAGGAGCACAGCUGGCAGCGCGGUAGGGAUCCUGCUGACGUCUCCUUAAUGUCGUAAGGGGCUGAGAGCCACCGGCGUCAUGGUGCACGCGGGGCACCAUCAUUACCCGUCGCCGGCGUAAGCCAGAUGGGACGCCGGUCUUGUUCCUUGUAGCCUGAGCAGGCUAGGAAUAGGGAAAUGAUGUAUCCCCUAUUAGCACGGUCGGUCCGAGCCUAGGGUCGGUCGAAGCGGAGACUUCUCUUGAGGCCGAGGCUGGGGUCGGGCGAGGACGCGUUUCCUCCCGAGACCGGGGUCGAGGCCGAGUCCGAGGGUCGGGCGAGGCGGAGACCUCCUCCCGAGGCUAGAGCCUGAGGUCGGGCGAGGCGGAAACCUCCUCCCGAGGCUGGAGCAUGAGGUCAGGUGAGGCGGAGCUUCCUGUUGCGCCCGAGGCUGAACUCGGUGGUUGAUCAUGACUUGUUGUCAGUCGUCGCCGGGGUGGCUGACACGGCAGUCGGAGCGGAGCGAGCGACAAUGUUUUCCUGUCAUAUCAGACAGUAAAGAAGAGGGGCAAAGUGACUGCGGUCACUUUGGCCUGCCCGACUGAGGCGCGUGUGUCAGGAUAAUGCGUCAGGCAUCCCCUGCAUUUAAUGUGCCUGCGAAGCGGUCGGUUGGUGAGGCGGUCUGGCCAAGGUUGCUUCACAAUGAAGCCUACCCGAGCCGGGCCUCGGGAGAGCCGAGGGGGCGCCCGCUGCCUGAGGAGGCCCUCGGGCGAGGCGUGAACUCGUCUGGGACUACUGUUCUCACCCGAGGCUGGGCUCGGGUGAGAUCCGUCCCUCGGGUAGACGAAGUCUUGACCUGAACCGCACCCGUCAGUUGGUCUGAGGGUGUUUACCAGCCAUGAUUAGGAGCAUUGGGGGUACCCCUAAUUAUGGUACCCGAUAGUAGCCCCCGAUCCUCGAAGGGAAUGUUGGUACUCGCUUGGAGGCUUUUGCCGCGUUUUCGGUGAGGGGACCGGCCUUUCUCGGUUUUUGCCUUGUUCUGGUGGGUGCGUGCGAGCGCACCCGCCGGGUGUAGCCCCCGAGGCCUCGGAGGAGUGGUUUGACUCCUCUGAGGUCUGAAUGCUUUUCGUGGUGCUUCGGCCAGUCUGAUCGUUCUAUCACGCGGCCCGGCCGUAGCCCAGGUGCGUGGUCGGGUUCCAAGUUAUCAAGCUGGCUUGUUGACGCUGUCAACAGUUUUGGCCGUAGCCGGGUGCGAGAGCAGCCCCCGAGCCUCUGCACGGAGCGAGAGGACGAUCAAGGACUUUCCCGACUCUUAUCAUACGCCCCUGCGUUGCCUUUCCGCAAGGAGGAGGGGGGAAAGUGCCACGUUGCCCUCGGAGGGCGCCGAACAUGGUGUUUCCAGUGAGCUGCUAACGGGUGAUCCGAGUGGACGCCCGUGCCCCGUUCGUUAGGGGUCGGCUGGUGGCCCAGAGGCGCCCUCCAAAAGUACCUGCGGGUGAUUUGCCGGACCCAGACCCCUUCGACAGGGUCCGAGGGCUCGAUGCCUCCCUCUGGUGGGACUCCGUUACAAAUCGUUCCCGCCGGUCUCGAAAAUGUCCUAGGGUACCUCAGUAGCGUAAUCCGAGCCUCGGCUAUGUAUCGAAUGUACCCAGAGUCAUCCCUCACUCUACAUGCUUUGGGGCGACUGUCGAACCCUUCCGAGGGGCAAGCCUACGAACCCCAGAUCAGUAGUGGGCACGGAGCCCGAGCGCUCUGGGGUGGCUGUCGAACCCUUCCGAGGGGCCAGCCUUCGAACCCCUGAUCAGUAAUGGGCUUGAGGUCCGAGUGCUCUGGGGCGACUGUCGAAACCCUCCCGAGGGGCCAGCCUUCGAACCCUUGAUCAGUAGGAGGGCUCGGGGCCCGCUUCCUUCACCAAGAAGGAUCCUUUCCACAACAUCCCCUUUCCCGGUCCCUGUAGCAAGAGAGAGAGAGAGGAGGGGAAGGAUAUGAAUUUAAAUAAGGUGGCGCACCUUUUUUGACGCGAUCAUUAUGGCGAAGGCGAAGCGACGCUCGCCUCGCCUGCCAGAGGUGUCGCUUGCUCCGUCGGGAAGUUAAUGCGACGGGAUGGGCGAUUCGCGUGGCGCCCGUUGCGCGCGCGAGCCGUUCGAGGAACGGGGCACGGGCGCGUCAUCUUCACGCCGUGGGAGAGGGCUCUCCCGUGGCUUCAGGUGGGGACGCAAGCCUGCAGGCGACUUGACCGCUGCCUCCGCUCGUCUGUCGCUGCAGUUACUGCCGGCCCGCUUUUGACCAUGCCAACCGUCGUGCCUACCCCGGGGCUGAUCGGCCCAUGGCCGUCACCUUUAACUGGCACUGUUGGGUCCUGCGUAGGGCUACCUCGAGUCGUGGUACUGGUUCCGCAGUCGAGGAGGCGCAGCAUUGGCGUGAGUGGCGGUGUAACUUCUCGCACGUCGUAACCGGCGCGCCGGUUACAUGACAUGCGGGCCCGCUUCCUUUGCGCUGGUCCGCUGGAUGUGGACGAAGCCGAAGGGGCGCACAGUUGCGGUGCAGUUGGAUGCCUGUUGCGUGGCAGUCCACCCUUUCGACCACCGGUUUCUACGAAGAUGGGAGAGCGCUUGUAACCGCGGGACUGUUACAUGCCUCGCGUGCGGCGGUUCGCCUUCUUCGUGCUUCGGAUCAGCUCGUAUGACGUGUGGGUCCCAGCCCCCAUGUCGUAGGGGGAGAACCCUGGAGGAUGUCAGUGGAGAUUUUGCUCGUGACGCUAAGGGGUGCAAGUGAGGAGGUCUGCCUAUAAAAGGGGGAUCGAUCCCCUGGGCAGUGGCCAUGCCUUUGUUCUCCCCUCAUGCAUUGCGCCCUUCCACCUUUCGAGCCCCCGGAUGGGGUGCUCCAACGUUGCCUUGCUCUUGCUGUCGUUGGAGUAGCGCGGCCUCGUGGAGUUCGGCACCUUUUAGCCAUCGCUCGGCUUCAAGGAUUUUCGUCGUGCAGCCCGGCUGCAUUCCCUCACCAAUGGGCAGUUUGGUGGGGAGAAGCAAGCCGAGCUGCGGCCUCCGCCCCGCCCUCAGCUUCAAGGAUCUUCGUCAUCCUUGCUGAGGCGAAGGAGCGCACCGAGUGGGGGGUUGCCUCUGCGUGGGCCGGUAACCCUUUUCUUCCCCCAGCGUUUGGGGGAGAAAGGCAUCCUCCAGCCCUGUGGAGGCGUCCUCCAGCCAUGCGGGGGAAGGCGAACUGCUGCUCCCUGGACAGGGUGUAGCUUUCCGUCCUUCGUCCGGGCGGCGGUCGUGCCGCGCACGGGCCGGCCACGUCCAGGUCUUCCUCGCACCGUCAGCCGCGCUGGAGGGUUGCCCAGCACGUCGUACACCGCGAGGGCGGUGCUCGUGUUCUGGGGCGGCCUCGGCGAGGACGGGAGUGAGGACCUGCCGGUGUGCUUUGGGGCGGCCGUUGUUCGCCGGCGCGGUGUCGGUGGGUUCAAACCCACGGUCGGCGCCCUCUGACUCUUCGGCCUUAAUGGCUUGUCCUCGCCCCUCGUGUGGGGACGUGGGUGAGGGCCUCUUCACAGCAGCGUUUGCCCUGAAGCCGUUGCUGUAGCUAUCUGGCCGCCCGAGGCGGAGGUCGUUGUCGCUGCUGUCAGGGGUCGCCGGCAAGCCGCUUGGAGUUCGUCAUCCCACUGGCCCCCCGGUGUGGAGGUUGUUCAUAUCCGCGGGAAUGGAACCAGAGUCCCGUUUGUAAGGAGAUAUAUCGGGUUUUUGCCGGAGCAAAAUGUAACCGCUUCAAGUACUUAGACAUUUGUCGUAGGUCGGGAGAACCGCCGAGGGUUCUACCGACGUCUAAGUCUGUGUAGCAUAGUUACCCCCAAGUAUAUGUGUUUGUUCUUUGUGGCUGUCGAGGCCUGAACAUUUGGGUAUUCGAGAAUGAAGAUGUGUGUCUUCCUCAUUCCGAGCGCUGGGACUUGUCUGUUGGCUAGCCGAACCACUUAACCGAGCGUCGGUUGCCUUUCGCGGAAGGUGAUGAGUGAGGUGUCCGUAUCUCGGAGGCGUAGGAGUCCCUCGGCUCUGUCGGCCUUGCCGCUCUAGGCUUCUCUUGAUCAGGUUUUGGAACCCUCGGCUGCUCUGCGAUGAGCCGGAGCCGGAGGCAGCGGUGUUAGUGCGGACAGACGCGGAGUCGGCUCGGAAAGAGACUUCGUCGGCCUGGGAGAUGGCGGCUUCCCAGGCCGAGGAAGAUGUGGUAGCAGCCGCUGGAGCUUGGCCAAGACAUCUGCUGGCGUCCUCCCUUAGGUGGAGGUCCUUUUGCCCAGGUCGCCGUCCGAGGCGAGGCCAGGUUCCGCCGAGGGUGGAAACAACGCUGAGGGUGCUGCAGGAACAGUUUGUCUUUAGCAUGCGCAUGCUUUUUCGCGGCCGCCGAGGCCUAAACACUUUAUCGUCAUGUUUAAAAAGCUGCGUCUUCUCUCCUCUUGUUUCGAGCAUCAUGACUUGUCUGUCAAUAGCAAAAUCGUUUAUCCGAGCGAGAGUUACUUUUCGCGGAAGGUGAUGAGUGAGGUAUCCGUAUCCCGGAGGCGUAGGAGUCCCUCGGCUCGAUCGGCCUUGCCGCUUACGUGCACUCUCAUUUGGUCGAAGGAUUCCAUUAUUGGUACAGUCGAGAAGGCAUGAAAGUCGUUUUCUACCCGAGUGUUAGGACUUGUUCGGUAGCAGGAUCGCUUAUCCGAGCGUGAGUUACUUCUCGCGGAAGGUGAUGAGUGAGGUAUCCGUAUCCCGGAGGUGUAGGACUUCCUCGGCUCGGUCAGCCUUGCCGCUUACGUGUACUCUCGUCAUUCUUAGGAUCCCGCUAUCGAUACGGAAGUCGAAAGCACAAAGGUUGUUUUGGUACAAAUUUUUUCCGAGGAAAAUUUUGACGCAGAGGGGGUUCCCCCCUUCUAGCCCCCGAGGGAGGGUCAGGCUUUGCUGAGGCAAGGCCGACCCUUCCUUGACGGUUAGACUUUGUGUAUGUAAACGAGGUACAUGAAUGACUUAAAACAUCUUAAGGGUAGAAGCGACGUAGCUGUUGGAUGUUCCAAGCGUUGUUGUAGACCUCGCCUUGGUCGUUGGCCAGCUUGUAUGUUCCGGGCUUCAGGAUCUUGGCGAUGAUGAAGGGCCCUUCCCAGGGAGGAGUGAGCUUGUGGCGCCCUCGGGCGUCCUGUUGCAGGCGAAGCACCAAGUCUCCCACUUGGAAGCCUCGGGACCGAACGCUUCGGGCGUGGUAGCGCCGCAGCGACUGCUGGUACCAUGCCGAAUGUGUAACACCCCUGGUGUUACUGUAACUAAAACUGGAGCAUGGCAUCAUAAGCAUGGGCAUUUCAUAUGUUUGAUACACCUAGAAUGCAUUCACUAGGUAAAAAUUUCAAUCAAGUGUAUUGUUUCUGGUGUUUUGCAAAUAGGACCCUGGAUAGGGGACCUAACCCUAAAUCAGACUCAAAGGGGCAAAACUUAACCCAAGUUGAGAAAACCUAAAGACUUUAGGGAAAUAGUUAUAAAAUAUCCCCAAAAAUAAAGUUGAAUCAUAUUUAUACCCCUGGGAUACCAGAAACCCUAAAUAGAACCCUGGAAAACCCUAAAACUAAACCCUAGGGGCCUAGGUGCAAAAUUAGUCCACUUUUGGACUAAAGUGCAAAAACCAAGUUAAAUAAGUAUCUUAAAACAUUUGGGUCACAAAUAUGUGAAUUUGCAAGCCAAACCCUAAGUUUUGGACCAUAUUGCAAAAAUCACCUCUUAAGCACUAUAGAGCCUAAGUCUGAAAUUAGUGUGUUUUCUUCAACUUUGAACCCUUGUAUCUUUCAUGUUCUAGGGAUUUUGCCCUAGGGCACCACAUCAAAAUUAUAGCCUAAUCAUAGGAGAACAACUUUGCUUAAAGAUAUGAUCAUUGUUGUUAAGGAAAAACUGGAGAUAAUUGAGCCUGAAGUUGGACUGUCAGACUGCCUGAGGUCUGAAAUUCAGAGUAACAAUGUUAUGGGAUGAACUUUGAGCUCGAUUUUGAAUGGGAUCCAGUGACUUUUUGUGGGAGCACAUUGUAGCAAAGUUAUAGAUGGAUUAUAGCUCUACAACUUUACUACAGAAAGUUGGCAUAGGUUUCACAUAAAAAUUGGAGAAAAUAGGGCUCCAACUUGGUCUGUCAGUUAAGCUGUCCACUGAAUCUGGCACACUGUUCACGGUCUUCUGAAAUAUCACGCCGUGGAUCAGGGUCAGUUCCCCCCCCCCCCCCCCGCCGGCGAUAAGAACGCCACCGCGGCGUGACUGGUCAUCGGUGGCCGCGGUAAAUAUCCUCGGCGUCGUGGCAAAGGGUUACUGAGGUGGCGAGCUCCGGUUAAACGGCGACCCCCCGUGCCAUCACCGGAAUCCGCCGCGCGGAAAGCUUGCCAGCGCAUCCGUAGUCCGCGCUUCUUCUCCAACUCCGGUCGACGGCCUAUAAAUUGAGCUCGGACUCCGCUUCUUCUCCCCAUUACGCAUCUCAGUGCUUAAGCAAUCGACUCAAUUUCGCCAGAGAACUUACGCAGCCCCAAUUCCCUCUCUCCUCCGUUCUUGCUCCGCCGUGAAGAACUUCUUCGUAGCCAGCGUUCCUCUGGUCAGUAACUCUCAACUUACUCCCUGUUUUAGUUAGUCCUUGAUCUCCUAUUGCUCCUAGAUGUGGCAAUUUAUAGUUUGGCCGAAGCUCAUCACAGGAACGCACCCGUGCGCUGUCAAACACCGCCGUGACCCCCCCCCCACCGUCGACCCGCUCUUCGGGUCUUGUUCUGCCCAAACCGAAGCAUGUCCAUGGAUCCUAGUGAACCCGUAAACCUUUACCCAGCCUCAAUUUGGCCAUCCCCGUCGCUGUCCGAUCGGAACAUGUUCACUCUCUUGUCCAUCCGCUCUGUCUCCGUGGCCAGGACAUUGUAGUGCGCCGUUAGUGAAAUUGAUGGAGGGGAAAUGGUCGGGGUGGAUCGAAUUGUGUUCCCGUCGCUUGAGAGCACCAGCCGUGGCGUCAUCUGGCCGGACUAAGCUCGCCGGAGUGCGGCGAGGGCUGAUUCCUCGUCGUGGACUUUGCUCUGUGAAAGUAUAGAAUGUGGAGGGCCUUAGUAUAAACUGUCAGCGACUCACUGAAACAGUAGAAGAACCUGUCUCCAGAUAGAUAAAACCCCGAGGCCCUUUUUGCAAAACCGCCAGGGCUCGGGCGCACGCGCGCGUUUUCACUGUGUACUGGGCCGUCUGGGCCAGAUGUUGCCCAGUACUAUUCCUAAGUUUUUCUUUUUCUUUUUACUCCAGAGCUAAAACAAUUGUAGAAAAUUAUAGAAAAAUCCUAAAAUUAUGAAACUAAUUUUCCUAGGUUUCUUAUUUUCUCUAGAAUUUAAUAAAAAUAGUUUCCUGAUUUUUAGUUUAAACAGGGAAUUUUAAGGCAUUUAAAAUAGUUUAAGACAGUAGUUUUGGAUUUUUAAAAGAUAAAUGGUAAUCCCAAAAAUGCUCAAAAUUUUUAUAUGAGUUCCUCAUGUUAUUUAGAAGCCUUGGGUAGAGUUUGGGUUGAUUUGGACCUUGUUUGAUCACCAAACCCCAAAACACCCCCCUGCCCUAUGAACUCCUUUACUGACUCCGGAAACCCUAAGUUCUCGGAGUUCCGUGAAGGAAAGUUGUAUUCAAGACUUAGAUAAUAAAUCUUUAUUGUCUUUGCACUCUCAUGAGCAUUACAUGGCAUUCAUUCUUAUAUAUAUAUGGUUAUGUUAGAACACGAAGAAGAAGUGGAAGUCACCGAAGAAAGGACACCACCACCCUCGGAUUCUCAAGCAGGCAACUGCUUCUACUUUGAUAUUUGUGGAUCCGAGCCAGACUCACCUGUUAACGAAGGCAAGCCCCGGUGCAUGCAACCCCUUUCCUUGUGUUUUUAAAUACUUUUCGCACACUUUAAGUCUAGUGAAAUGUGCAUUAGGUUAUCGGAGUUGCUUGAAACCCUUUGAUGCAUUGUUUUCCUUGAUAUCCAUACCUUUAUAGAUACUUCUGGUGAAGUAUCAAAAUUUGAUUUACAAAAAUGCUUAGCCCUGCUUAGAUCUUGAGGAUAGAGGUUGUCUUUUGCAAUACUGCCUAGCUCAGGGGUUAUCCUGAGGAAAGAUGGCUUCUACCUGCAAGAAUACUUUCCUUGAGAGCGUGGUGGGAUCUUACUGCAAAGUUCCCUGUGAUGCUCUUUUCAUCCUAAGGAAUAGAAAUAAUCCUAAGGAUGGAUGUACUUAAAUCGAGACUUGGGUUAGGAACAUGUGAUGUUCUACCCAGGAUGAUUAAGGAUUGAAUGCGUAUGUAGGCGUGUUGAUCGAGGACCCUUUAACUGGUCACAUGCCUCGUCAUGGGUAAGCCUUGCCUCGGGCAGACUAAGGCCAGAAUAAGAUAACACGAAAUGGGCGUGGAGCGGUGGCGAGAGUAGCGUGUACCCACCAUGGCAAGAGGCUGGACGGUGGUGUAUUUGUGCUCUUGGUUUGCGUGAACCUGAUCUGGUCUUAAGAACCCCGGUGGCGGGUUGACAUAUGCAAGGGUUAAGUGCUACAUAUGUCGUGGGAUUGGAGAUCCUCAGCUGAGUAUAAUCGAUUCGGAUCGCCGUACCUUCGCGGUUAUGAAGACUUGGUCACUUCCCUACAACCUAAGUCAGGAUGUGAACACUAUGAAUAAAAAUGAUGUUGUAUUGAUGAGAUGGUGAAAUUAGACCAGAUGCAAACAGAGUCUAUUAAUACUUAAUAUGGCGUUAAAACAUUGAAAGUAAGGAUUCACUUUAGUAAGCUAUUUCUGCAAAAGUAUCUAAGUUGAUUUUUGCUAAAGCCUCUCCUUGAUUCCUACUUAUCCAGCAUACCCGUGAGAGUCUUUUCCUUAGUCAGGUAAGACUUGCUGAGUAAUUCCAUACUCAGGGUUUAUUCCCUCAUUAUUUUUAGGUGAGGAAGCAGCAGAUUUUUGUUGCUUCUGUACCAAGGUGGUUCCUAAUGAAGAUAAGCAAGAGUGAAGUGCGGGAGGAAAGGAUCCUCCAUUAGGACUUUUUGUGUGAUAACUGUCGGGAGGAGUUUUUGCCUCCCUUGGUAUGUGUAAUAAUAUUAUUCGGCACUCGUUAUAUAGUUCUGGUCUCUAAUAAACAACUUGAUCUUACUUUUUAAUAAAUGUAAGCUUAUGUAAUCGCUUCCGCAUAUCUAUAUCUCCGAUGUUCUGUAAUGUCUGCAAGACGGGUGAGACGUUCCUGGAAAGGUAAGGAAAGAUACCGAGCUUGUCAAGUAGUUCAGGGGCACCUACAGGGUUGUCUGAGGUCCGUUGGACAAGGACAACUGUAGGUGGGCCUAAUUACUUGGGAGGUUCCGUCACAGCUGGUAUCGGAGCGUAGCCCUUCUUGACAGAUAUUAUGUAGCAUCUUCAAAAGAAUUUUCUAAGACUGAUCUAGAAAAUUUCUUCUCUUCUUACCUAAGCAUCUCUGAAGAGUUUAUUUCAAAGACCAGAUAGAAAGAGUGCAAUGUGUGGAAGGUUGAAUCGACUAAGGUUGAUUCUGUACUUUUUCAUGCAUCAUGCUAAAAAUUGUACUAAUAAAUUUCCCCUUAGAAAAUGCCGCCACGUACAAGGAAAACGGCACGAAAGCAUACUGGACCUAUCGGUGUGCCUCGACACCAACUUGCCCCACGGGAGCAAGAGCAAGAUAGCAGUAGCGGGAGCAACGAUCCUAUUGGUGAUCUCGAAGCUCGCGUGAAUCAACUUCAAGCAGAACUGCAUCGCAGGACCAAUUUAUGGGUUGCGGACGGUGACCGAAUAAAUGAUUUGAGAAGUUACAUCCGCACCCUGCAAGAUCAACUAGCUGACCGAGAUCUGGCGCUUGAUUGGGCGGUACAAUCUCGCUCAGUAGCUUUAGCUAAGGAAGCGAAGGCUCGAGCACGAGUCAACGAACUUAGCGUUGCUAUUGACAACUUGCAGGUAUAUUGCAAUACUUUACAUGAGGAAGUUCAUGUACUGUAUUCGCAAUUACACCCAAAUGUCCCUGCGGAUCCCGUCAGGUCAGGAGCCGGACCCUCGGGAGAAGCGCUUGGUGGGGAGUUAGACCUUUUUAGGCCCCCUCCUUCUUUGAGGUUGGUCGACGUAUGGUCUCCCACCCCUGACGAUGAAGCUAUCAAGAACAAUCAGAAGCAGGAGUAGUAGUGUAGUUGUAGAAGUAGUAAGUUGUAUAAUAGGUUGAACUCUUGUAUAAUGGGUAAUGUAUCCUGUUAUGUAACAUCGAGUCUGUAUCAUUACUUUUUAUAGUAAUGUAAAAUGGAAGGUUUCUCUGGCAUAUUAUGUUUACUUCAAAUGUUCUUUGCCACAGAUGCCUACCAGGACUCGAGGACAGGAUGCAGCGGGAACUUCUGGGGGAAGGGAUGUUACCCCAAAUCCACCUCCGGUUCCUCCCACAUUGGCCGAGGCGAUUGCCGCCUUGGUGAACGCGACUGCGGACAAUACCCGCUUUCUUAGAGAAAUGGCGGGCCAACAGCUCCAGCAGCAGGGUGGAAGGGGUUAUCAGCAAGGCCCCCGUGAAACCACCUAUCUAGAUUUCUCCAAAACCCAUCCACCACUAUUCGUCAAAGCUGAGGACCCGUUGGAAGCUGAUGAGUGGAUACGGGUUAUUGAACAAAAGUUUGGUCUUCUCCGCUGUUCAGAAACGCAGAAGCCGUUGUUCGCAGCGCAACAACUACGUGGCUCUGCCAGUACUUGGUGGGGGAAUUUUGUGGCUAUUCAACCUGCCAACCAUCAAGUUACAUGGGAAGAAUUUAAAGCAGCCUUUCGUGAACACUACAUACCCGAAGGUGUUCUGCAUAUGAAACAAGAAGAGUUCAUGAAGCUGAAACAAGGAGGAGAUACCGUCAAUCAGUAUCUCAACAAGUUUAAUCACCUGUCACAGUAUGCUAUCGAUCAGGUGAAUACUGACUUAGAAAAAGAACUGCUUUAUGAGGGGUCUAAAUGACCGAUUACAGAGAAAGAUGGCCACAUGCAUAGAUCUCACGUAUGGAAAGGCUUUCAGUACAACCUUAUCUGUUGAAGCAAAAUACGCAAGUUCUGGGAAGAACAAGGGAUUCGGUGGUGAGAAGCCUAAUCAGGGCCAGGCGAAGAGGCAACGGUUUGUGAUCCGGCCUCCUAGCCAAAAUCGCACUUUUUCUCGUCCACCCUCAUUCCCUUUCAAGCAGCCAAUUAUCAUCCGUCCCAACAAUACCCCCACUACCCCAAAUCAGCCGGGUGCCCCGGGCACUCGAUUCCCUGCCUUGCCCAGCUCCUCAACCGGGUGUUUUAAUUGUGGCAAGUCGGGACAUUUCAUCAAAGACUGCCCAUAUCCCAAGCAGAAUCAAGCAAAUGCUCAGCAAGGAUCUGGUAAAUCAGCUCAGUCCAAGGGAAAUAAUGUGGGGAGAAAUACAAAGAAGACGGGGCGUGUAUACUAUACUCAAGUGGCCACUACACCGGAGGGAGAAGCGGUGAUGAUGGGUACGUUUCCCGUGGCCAGUCACCCUGCAAUUAUUCUUUUUGAUUCUGGUGCUUCGCAUACGUUCAUUAGCAAGAAAUUUGUGGAGCAACAUCACAUUGCAUGCCAUGAAUCAAAAGAGGGAUUUAAAAUUCAUUCACCUGGGGGACACAUUUUUACUAGAGAAGUGGCCUAUGAAGUGCCAGUAACCAUGGCCGGACGGAACUAUCCUACUAACAUGAUUGUUCUGAAAGGCCAGGAUAUAGAUGUAAUUUUGGGUAUGAAUUGGUUAACCCAACACAAGGCAAUUCUCAACACUGAACUCAGAACCGUCAGGUUGAGCUAUAAUCAAGAAGAGAUUCUUUUGUCUCUCCCCGUAACCAAUCCAGCCAAAGCUUCUGGUAGAAUAUAUGAAGCCAUUGUACCGGAGAUCAAGGAUAUUCCGGUAGUAUGUGAGUUUCCAGAUGUGUUUCCGGAAGAUUUGCCUGGACUGCCCCCUGAAAGAGAUGUAGAAUUUGUAAUUGAGCUAAAGCCCGGUACGGCUCCCAUCUCCCGAAGAUCGUACCGUAUGCCCCCUAAUGAGUUGGCGGAAUUGAAGAUUCAAUUACAAGAUCUACUGAAUAAGGGAUUCAUCCGGCCAAGCUCGUCUCUAUGGGGUUGCCCCGCCAUUUUUGUUAAAAAGAAGGAUCAAACCAUACGUAUGUGCGUGGAUUAUCGACCCCUGAAUGAGGUCACCAUCAAGAACAAGUACCCUCUUCCAAGGAUCGACAUCUUAUUUGAUCAAUUGACUGGGACGAGGGUAUUUUCCAAAAUUGAUCUCAGGUCGGGCUAUCACCAAAUCCGUAUUCGGCCCGAGGAUAUACCGAAGACCGCAUUUACUACGCGGUAUGGUUUAUUCGAAUAUUUGGUAAUGUCUUUCGGGCUAACAAAUGCUCCUGCCCACUUCACCUAUUUGAUGAACUCGGUGUUUAUGCCCGAGUUGGACAAGUUCGUGGUGGUCUUCAUCGACGACAUCUUAAUAUACUCUAAAAAUGAAGAGGAGCAUGCUCAACAUCUACGGAUUGUAUUAACGCGCCUAAGGGAACAUCAGUUGUAUGCCAAGUUCAGCAAGUGCGCGUUUUGGCUGGAGGAAAUUCAAUUUUUGGGGCACGUGUUAUCGGCCAAAGGAAUUGUGGUAGAUCCUAGCAAAGUCAAAGAUAUUCUGGAGUGGAAACCCCCAACCACUGUUCACCAAGUCCGGAGUUUUCUUGGACUAGCUGGAUAUUAUCGCAGAUUCAUACCAGAUUUUUCUAAGCUUGUGAAGCCAAUCACAAGUUUAUUGAGGAGUGACAUUAAAUUCAAUUGGUCUUCUAAGUGUAAUGAAGCCUUUGAGCAAUUGAAGACAUUAUUAACCACUGCUCCAGUAUUGGCUCAACCGGACAUCACUAAGCCUUUUGAUGUAUAUUGUGAUGCGUCUGGCAGUGGACUCGGCUGUGUAUUAAUGCAAGAGGGUCGAGUAAUUGCAUAUGCUUCAAGGCAGUUGCGCCGACAUGAGGAGCAUUACCCAACUCAUGAUCUGGAGCUAGCUGCUGUGGUUCAUGCCCUGAAAAUUUGGCGUCAUUAUCUGCUGGGAAAUGUCUGUCAUAUUUAUACAGAUCAUAAAAGUUUGAAGUACAUCUUCACCCAGUCAGAAUUAAAUAUGAGGCAAAGACGAUGGCUUGAGCUUAUUAAGGACUAUGAACUGGAGAUCCAUUAUCACCCAGGCAAAGCCAAUGUUGUGGCAGAUGCAUUGAGCCGUAAGGCUUCGUGCCACUGUCUUAUGGUGAAGACCUCUGACAACACUUUGUGUCAUGAAAUGGAAAAGUUAAACCUGGGGAUGCU
Molecule: long non-coding RNA, 44399 nt
Filed under: Zea mays
Lineage: Eukaryota; Viridiplantae; Streptophyta; Magnoliopsida; Poales; Poaceae
Description: long non-coding RNA (ZMAY_LNC003041)
Source: RNAcentral